This 755-nucleotide ribosomal RNA is filed under the name Streptomycetaceae bacterium. RNAcentral describes it as "bacterial SSU rRNA". It matches the Rfam family "Bacterial small subunit ribosomal RNA", at positions 54 to 826 of the family's 1533-position model. Lineage: Bacteria; Bacillati; Actinomycetota; Actinomycetes; Kitasatosporales; Streptomycetaceae. The record is from RNAcentral.
CAUGCAAGUCGAACGAUGAAGCCUUUCGGGGUGGAUUAGUGGCGAACGGGUGAGUAACACGUGGGCAAUCUGCCCUUCACUCUGGGACAAGCCCUGGAAACGGGGUCUAAUACCGGAUAACACUCUGUCCCGCAUGGGACGGGGUUAAAAGCUCCGGCGGUGAAGGAUGAGCCCGCGGCCUAUCAGCUUGUUGGUGGGGUAAUGGCCUACCAAGGCGACGACGGGUAGCCGGCCUGAGAGGGCGACCGGCCACACUGGGACUGAGACACGGCCCAGACUCCUACGGGAGGCAGCAGUGGGGAAUAUUGCACAAUGGGCGAAAGCCUGAUGCAGCGACGCCGCGUGAGGGAUGACGGCCUUCGGGUUGUAAACCUCUUUCAGCAGGGAAGAAGCGAGAGUGACGGUACCUGCAGAAGAAGCGCCGGCUAACUACGUGCCAGCAGCCGCGGUAAUACGUAGGGCGCAAGCGUUGUCCGGAAUUAUUGGGCGUAAAGAGCUCGUAGGCGGCUUGUCACGUCGGAUGUGAAAGCCCGGGGCUUAACCCCGGGUCUGCAUUCGAUACGGGCUAGCUAGAGUGUGGUAGGGGAGAUCGGAAUUCCUGGUGUAGCGGUGAAAUGCGCAGAUAUCAGGAGGAACACCGGUGGCGAAGGCGGAUCUCUGGGCCAUUACUGACGCUGAGGAGCGAAAGCGUGGGGAGCGAACAGGAUUAGAUACCCUGGUAGUCCACGCCGUAAACGUUGGGAACUAGGUGUUGG